UCAGUUUUGGUCAUUUUGAGCUUACUUCAUCAGUUGGAGAUGAACAAGGAGAUAUCAAAAAAAAAAACAGGCUGAGAUUUUAGAUUAGAUGGAACAAACAGGUCAAGAAGGAAAAGUAGAUCUGACUUAACAUCAUAAAGACAAUAGUUAAAGUCAUGUUUAGAAUGAGAUCAUCAAGAGAUAAGGCACACAGGGAAAAGAGGAGGAGGCCAAGACCGGAAACCUAUGGAAUCCCCCACAGAAAGUUGAAGUGAGGAAGAGGAGGAGUGUUUGAAUAAUAAUGCCGUCAAAAGGAUUAGAGAGGUCCAGGGGAAAACAAGAAUGAACAGAAUCACAAAAGCUGAGGAAGAACUCGAAGCGUGUGUGGUUACCUCACCAGUGCAGAUCAGUUAGCUAAGCAUUAUAUCGGGAAUACCUAGAAUAAUGUAUUCAGAUCAUAGAAAAAUUGACCCACAUUCCAUUGGAGUUAAUUACAUUUAAUGACAUGCAACUCAUUAUAGAUGGGGUUUCAGAGGAAACCCUAAAUAUGAGCAUAACUGUGCUGCAUAAGUAAUCAUAGAAUUAUAGAACCUUAGGGACUUAGAAGGGACUGCAAAGGUAUGUAGUCUAACCCCCUGCAAAAAUCAGAUCAUUUUCUCUUGUGGUCAUUUUCAGAAAACCAGGGUUUUGUCCUUUCAUCCUGGUGUUGUACAGCAUGCUGAUUUGGCUGUAUCCCAAAGAUGACUGCAUCUCAAUUAUGUGUUAUGCAGCUGAAACAGUAAAGCCACAACAGCAGACAUCAGUGUUUCUAUCAGCUCCCUCUGCAUCUGUUUAUCUUCUUCUCUGCUGGUUCCAGAAACAUAACAUAUAGCUAUGAGGAAUUUAUAUCCCUGGCGUGUCCAGUUCUGCUUCUGCCUGACCAAGAAGAAGAAAAAGUGUCCAGGAGACAUGAAGUCCAACAGAACAAAGAAAUGACUCGUUUUGUGAACAAUGUUGUGACAGAUCCAAAGGCAUGCAGACUGCUGAGUGACCUACUUUCUCCAACUGUGCCUGGAACUGCUACAUAUGCCACAAUUACUGCAGAAAUGCAGGCAUGUUUUUCUCCUACCCUACAGAUGAUAUUUGUUCCAUCAGUUAUAUCAGGAAACUGGAGGAUCAGUAGCACAGUUUUUUGCUGCCUUAAAGAAGUUGUCAGAACAUUGUCAGUUUGGACAAACAUUAAUUGAUGCCAUGCAUAACCAGUUAGUCUCUGGAUUAUAUAAUGAUGAGGUCUGGAAGAAGUUACUGACAGUAUUAGUGCUUACAUUCAAGAAGGCUACUGAAGUAGCAGUUGCAAUGGAGACAGCAGAGAAAGACUCUGGAAUUUAAUGUGAAGCGACAAGUUCACCUCCUGCAUCAGCAAGACAGAGAACCACAGGAAUGUAAGGAAUUUCUUUGUGGCCAUUUUGCACAAACUGCACACUCUGAGAAGGAUUGCUGAGCACAUCAGGUUAUUUAAUGAAAGUGCCAGAAGAAAGCACACAUUGUCAUGACUGCACAGUUCAGUUAUCAGCAGCACAGAAUAACUAUACAUCCAAGAAUACAUGUAUGAAGACUGAAAUUAAGAAGGGAUUCAAGUUAGGAAUUUAUGAUGUAGAAAAAAGACCCGCGCUCUAGUGACACUGACCAAGACCUAGCACUAUACAUGUUAGCAGAAGCUGGAGUCAGAGAUGGAAUUUGGAUUACACUGUUGAUCAAAAGAGUUCCUACAAGAAUGGAUCUUGAUACAAGACCAGCUGUUUCAAUGAUUUCUGCAUCUACCGGACGUUGCCACAAGUUCCCCUGGAAAAAUUAUCCAUGACAUUGAAGAUUUAUACCAGAGAAAAAUUAGUCCCAAAAGGACUAUUCCAGGUGAAAGUGCAGCUAGAUGGACAAUAAGUGAUUUUGCUCUUGUAUGUGAUUGAAGAAAAAAAUUCUCUAUUAUCUGGCAGAUCUUGGCUUGAAAAGCUCAAGGUGAAUUAGACUGAGAUGAAGGUGAUCAUGACAGUCUGACAGUCAGCCAAAAUAUUGCAAGCCCAGAGUUGUGCCUUACACUCUGAAGCCUCUACUGGAAGCUGAUUUGGACUGUUUAGUGAACAUUGGAGUCUUGUCACCAGUUUCAUGCAGCGAGUGAGCUACACCCAUCAUAGAAGGAUGGCUGACUCUGAAUCUGUGGAGAUUUCAGAGUAACACUGAAUUCAGUUUUAUGUGCAGACCAGUAUUCACUACCAUGUACUGAAGAUUUGCUUGCUACUCCUAGUGGUAGACAGUGUUUUAGUAAAUUGGAUUUGCUCAGUGCAUAUCUACAAAUGGAGCACGUUGCAAAUAUCUCACAAUCAACACUCAAAAAGGCUUAUUUUAUUGCAACAGCUUGCAUUUUUGGUAUCACGUUGGCACCUGCUCUGUUCCAGAAAGACACAAUGAGAUUCUGAAGGGACUGCAUGGAAUUCAGUUCUAUUUGGAUGACACACUUGUUACAGGAAAGGAUCAAAAGGAUUAUCUUAGAAAUUUGCUGCCUUGCAACUUUUGGAAGACCACGGUCUGAGAGUACCUUGAGACAAAUGUUAAUUUUUCAAACUAUCAGUUAAAUAUCUUGGACAUGUAGUUGAUGCCACAAGUUUAAAGAAAUCACCAGAGAAAGAGAAGGUGGUUCUUCAAACACUACCACCAGAAAUAUCACCAUUACAUGAAUUCUUAGCACUGCUUAAUUACGAUGGUAAAUUUCUGCCUAAUCUGGUGACAGUACUGGCACCUUUUUACAUGAACUGUUUCAAGCAAAGAAAAAAAUGGAAAUGGACUAAAGAAUGUGAGGGUGCAUUUAAGGAAGCAAAAACUGUUGACAUUAGCUGAAGUUCUUAUGCAUUUUGAUGCUUUGCUACCACUGCAAUUGGCUUGUGAUGCUUCACCAUAUGGAGUAGGUACAGUUCUUUCCUAUGUUUUCUUAAUGGUAUGGAGAAACCAUCACGAACACUUUCUAUUCCUAAAAAGAACUAUGCAAAUGACUGAGAGGCUCAUCACAUUAUCUUUGGAAUCCGAAAGUUCCAAACUUCUCUCUACAUUAGAAAUUUUACUUUCCUGAUUGAUCAUCACCCAUUACUUUCAAUUUUUGGAUUGAAACA
Chrysemys picta bellii (western painted turtle) is the source of this 3116-nucleotide long non-coding RNA. RefSeq lists it as uncharacterized. NCBI's taxonomy places the organism in Eukaryota, Metazoa, Chordata, Testudines, Emydidae. The record is from RefSeq and is a predicted model, not a curated record.